Molecule: long non-coding RNA, 1507 nt
Organism: Sycon ciliatum
Lineage: Eukaryota; Metazoa; Porifera; Calcarea; Leucosolenida; Sycettidae
Exons: 2
Source: RefSeq, a predicted model, not a curated record
GGUUUUGACUAUGUUCGUGGCAACAGAAUGCACAGUAUUGUACCGUACUUCACUGGAUACUCUGCAAACAAUUCUAAGUAGUUGCAUGUAGUUCUAAAGUCGUAAAGAGCCUUUCACCGGCACAGUUUAAAGUGCCCUUUGUAGUUUUCACUGUUCAAGCGUACUCGUGUGCAUCCGACUAGCACAACAUUGUGACUUGGUCAUCCCUCUUCUAGUACUGGCAUCAUCUCUCACAGCUCAUGCACCUAAGGCUAGGGUACCGGGUUACCAUGCAUUCACGCUGUUGCUUUCUUUGGACUGGUGGCUACUGACCAACUGCGACGCAGAACUCGUUUGAAAAUCGUAAGACUGUGCGUGCUUGCAGCUGUUGUAAAUUAUUCAUGUACAUGUAGAUGGUUGAACACUGUUCAAAACCGUAGAUUCCAUUUUCAAUCCAAUUAAAUGUUGAGGAGUGAGCACGAUAUCAGUUUGAUACUAGUGCGUCGUUAGACUCAAAGAGCAAAGAUGUGCUGCUUGACAUGCCUGUAGAAUACGAGUUAGCCUAAUCGCCUAAUCGUCACCAAAACACUAUAGGUCGGUAGACGAAACCUUGCUGCUUGUUGGAACUUUCCGCCGUUUGCAACAAAGCUGUUGAAGAAUAUGGAAGUCAGAUGCACACUCUCUCAGCUCGCGCGCGCACUCAUCAUCGCCAUGGUUGCCAUAGGAACGUGGAAGCUGCCAGGAACCAGUAGCAAGCCUCUCCAUACGGGAGGAAGCUCAGGUCUUGUUGGAUCACUGUCCGAUCAGUCACGUGCGUUCCUGCUUGAAAUACAUGGCUUGACGAGGAAGUAUCUGGAUACUGAGAUUCUUCUCAAGGAUCACCUUAGCAACAACGAAGUGCAGAUGGAACCAGCUGCCUACCACGGACACGGUCUGAACGCGGAUGCCAUACAUGGAGUCGUAGGGCCACAACGCGAGGGUUCCUUUGACCUUGACAAAAUUGGUGACAGCGCUGGAAGGAUUCGGAUGCUAGAGUCAGCCACCGCACCAGUGCAUACAGUAGAAGGCCUGCAUGCUGGCUACCCCAAUGCUGCUGCUGCUAUCAAAGAAUACAACAAGGAGCUAGCUCGAACUGGUGUGAGCAGUAGCACUGAAGAGGACGAGCAGCUCAGGUAAACAAGGUGCAAUGUACGUGGAGGAACGAAAUUCGAAUUUGGAUGUAAUUUGAAACACAUGAACCGAUUCAGCACGACUGAUAAGUUUCCAUUUAUUCUUGAAGAAUCCGGCAUUAUUGAUCAAUAAAUGAAAGACGGAAUCACAAUGACCACAUUGAUUUUUUUCUUUUCUCAGUACAACAUACAUGUACAUGUACACGCAGCUAACGUGUUAGCUGAUGCUCUGGUCUUGUACAUCAGUACAGUCAUAUCCUUCAGAUUUUCUAACUGCACCAUUGGUUGAUGUGACAUCGUUCUCGUACAAUCAAGCUCUUGCGUGAUGCUCUGGUUUAGAACAGCAGAAUAGUAUUAUA